RNAcentral lists this ribosomal RNA (525 nucleotides) under uncultured Glomus. RNAcentral's name for it is "SSU rRNA". It matches the Rfam family "Eukaryotic small subunit ribosomal RNA", at positions 561 to 1092 of the family's 1831-position model. Lineage: Eukaryota; Fungi; Glomeromycota; Glomeromycetes; Glomerales; Glomeraceae. The record is from RNAcentral.
CUGGUGCCAGCAGCGCGGUAAUUCCAGCUCCAAUAGCGUAUAUUAAAGUUGUUGCAGUUAAAAGCUCGUAGUUGAAUUUCGGGAUCAGUAGGUUGGUCAUGCCUCUGGUAUGUACUGGUCUCACUGGUUCCUCCUUCCUGAUGAACCGUAAUGCCAUUAAUUGGUGUUGCGGGAGACUGGACUGUUACUUUGAAAAAUUAGAGUGUUUAAAGCAGGCAAACGCUUGAAUACAUUAGCAUGGAAUAAUGAAAUAGGACGUUUGAUCUUAAUUUUGUUGGUUUCUAGGAUCGACGUAAUGAUUAAUAGGGAUAGUUGGGGGCAUUAGUAUUCAAUUGUCAGAGGUGAAAUUCUUGGAUUUAUUGAAGACUAACUACUGCGAAAGCAUUUGCCAAGGAUGUUUUCAUUAAUCAAGAACGAAAGUUAGGGGAUCGAAGACGAUCAGAUACCGCCGUAGUCUUAACCAUAAACUAUGCCGACUAGGGAUCGGAUGGUGUUAAUUUUUAAUGACUCAUUCGGCGCCUUACG